ACAUGUAUCUCACAAUCAGGUUGGAAUACCCGCUGAACUUAAACAAUCAAUAAGCGGAGGAAGAGAAAACAAAAGUGGAUACCCUUAGUAAUGGCGAACGACAGAGGUGAAAGACAACGCAAAGGCUUAUGAUCCUUUCUAGAUUGAAUAAGCGAUUGUGCGUGAGUGUGUGAGUUGGUUGCUUGAGUUUAAAGCGGUGCGAUAGGCUUGUAUUCAAACGAACGAUCUAAUAGUUGACCAUAGAGGUUAAAGUCCCGUAUGAAUCUUAUAAGUCCAGUAUAUUGCUAGUCGAAGGCACUAACUGAGAGAGGUUGCUUGAGAGUGCAGCUUGAAGUAGGAGGUAUGCAUCUCUAGGCUAAAUAUCACGCCGAGACCGAUUAGCAACAAGUAGCCCGUGAGCGAAAAAGUUUUGAAAAGAACUUUGAAGAGAGAGUUCAAAGAGCGUGAUGAAACCAUAGUAGGGGGAAGCGGGAGAGAAGAUUAGCAGAAGUGGGUUGCAUUUGUGUAGUGUAUAAGGUUUGGCACGCUUUUCGUUAGGCUAGUUUGGUUUACUAAAGAAACUUUUAUAGGAAAGUUCUAGAGUCGGCCGUAAUGCUACAAAGGCACAAAUGUUUGCCAGUAUCAUGUCUUCUUCUAAAACUGCAUCGUGCUAUUGAUCGCUUAAACUCACCAUUGGGGGAGUUGGUUAAGGCCGGUAGUUAGGUUAUUAUUGAACCUUAUUUGUAGUAAGAUCCUCGGAUCUUACUACAAAUAAGGGGAAAACCUCUAUGGUAAAGUAAAAGGAAGAAAAGGCGGAUAUGAGUAGAUCGGUAAAUCUCUGCCCCGUCUUGAAACCACGGACCAAGGAGCCUAACGUGUAUGCAAGUCCUAGAUUUGAAAAACUAAGUGCGUAACGACAGCCAAUAGAUACUAUUCCUAUACAAGUUUAGUAUGGUUACGAUGUUAUAUUCUUUGUGGAGUUGAUAGCAAGUCAGUAAACAAUGCGAUUCGUACGAGUCGUAUUAGAGCAUAUACGGUAGUACCCGGAAAGAUGUGAUCUAUGCUUGAGCAGUGAAGCCAAAGGAAACUUGGUGGAGGCCGGCAGCAGUUUUGACGUGCAAAUCGAUUGUCAGACUUGGAGUAUAGCGGCGAAAGACUAUCGAACAUCUAGUAAGGCUGGUUUCCUCCGAAAUUUCCCGCAGGAUAGCAAGCGUAUCUAGGAAAAAAAACGUAAUCAUUUAAACCUGUUACAGUCUCAAUAGAAGGUAAUGGGGCCGUUAAUUGACCUCGUCUUUUCUUAAACUCGGUCAAUGGGUUUUCGAUGUUACACACUAAUCGUAUGGUAAACUAAUCAAACGUAAUGAUUUACGUUAGUGGGCCAAUUUUUGGGUUGUAAAGCAGAAUUGGCGAUGCGGGAUGAACCGUACACAGGAGUAAGGGCCUAAGUUUGAUACGCUAAUCAGAUCCCACUAAAGAUGUUGUUCGUUAAGACAGUAGGGAGGUGGCCAUGGAAGUCGGCCAUCCGCUAAGGUUGGAACAAACUCACCUCCGAAGCGUUCAACUCUGAAAUGAGUGGCGCCAAAGCGUUACACUGAACUCGGUGUAGUAGUAAAUCCGUAAGGAAUUAUUCUUUUCCGCCAAAGAAAGAAUACUAUUAGAUUCUAGAGACGGAGAGAUGUGGGGAUAGCGUUGAAGCUUGGUGUAAAACUCGAGUGGAGCUUUCACUAUACAGAUCUUGGUGGUAGUAGCAAAACAAAACAAGUGACAACCUGUUGACCGACGUGGAUACGGGUUCCAUGGGAACAGUAAUUGAGCCAUGGUUAGUCGAUCCUGAAGAGUGACGUGAAAAAGUUUUAGUAAGAAGCAAUCCUCGUCGAUGCACUAUGAACAGGAAUAAGAUUAAUAUUUCUUAACCUUGUUCGUUCUUCAUUAGAAGCGGUAACGCAAUCGAAACUCAGAGAAAUCGUCAAAGUCAUGGGUAGAGAUAUUCUUCUCUACUUUAAGGUGUGCUAAGUGCCUUGAAUCAGUUUAGCUGGAGACAGGCAGGAUGCACCGAAUAGGCAUUGGCUUCUCGUAAUGUACAAUUCAUAGAACAGUGUACUUUGAUGUCCUUGAAAUCGGGGGGCAGUAUUUGUAAGGCAAGGCAAGAUAGUACCUAGAUCCGCCACAGGUAUCCUAGGUGAACAGCCUCUGGUCUAUUAGAAGAAUGUAGGUUAAGGGAAGUCGGCAAACUUGAUCUGCUUAUCUUUGUACAAAGGUUGGCUCUGGCGUGUUUGCAGGUGCUUUAGUUAGUACAUGGAGAAGUUUAACUUGAACUGGUAGAUUGAGCAAUCGAUCGGAUGGCGCUUUGUUGUACAGCUCUAAUAGACACUUUUGUGUGGCUGGCAAUUAAAAAAAUAGUCAGAACUAUCAUUGACUGUUCGGAAUCUGACUGUUUAAUUAAACAUCGCAUUGAGAUGACCGGUGACCCGGGUGUUGACUCAAUGUGAAUUAUGCCCAGUGGCUCGAAUGUCAAACGUGUUUGUAGGAAAAUUCAAUGAAAGCGCGGGUAAAAGGCGGGCGAACAUGACUAUAUUAAGGUAGCCAAAUGCCUCGUCAUCUAAUUAGGACGUGCAUGAAUGGAUUAACGAGAUUCCAUCUGUCCUACUUACUAUAUAGCGAGAAAACCACAGCCAAGGAACGGGCUUGGCGAGAUAAGCGGGGAAAGAAGACCCUGUUGAGCUUGGACUCUAGUUGGCAUAGUGAAGGAAACUGAUCUGGUAUAGCAUAGGAGGAGGCAUAAGCUUGCUUGUCGUUAUCAACUGUAAAACCUCCACAGUACAGCACCACUCACUGACUUAGUUAUGAGGCUACUUUAGAGCGUCUUUGUUGAUGGGCUAAAGGAAACUAAUAACUGUAAAUAAAGUCGGAUGUUGGCUACUUUCACGAGUAGUUGACGCUAAUUACCGUCGAGGCAUUAUCUAAGGACAGUGCCAGGCGGGGAGUUGACUGGGGCGGCUAAAUCUAUCAAAUGGCUUAACGUAGGUGGGCCCUAAUGGUAGCUCGUGAGACCAGAAAUCUCACGUAGAAUAUAAGGGUACAAGCUGGCUUGAUUCUGAAUAUCAGUAUGUGCGAGAAAAGAAAUUGUGGCCUAACGAUCCUUUUGAAAAGCGAAAUACUAUCAAUGCAUAAUACAAGAGGGUGCAGAAAAGUUACCACAGGGAGAUAAACGGCUGGUGGCGGCCAAGCGUCAUAGCGACGCCGCUUUUGAUCCUUCGAUGUCGGCUCUUCCUAUCAUUGUGAAGCAAUUCGCAAAAGUGUAGAAUUGUUCACUCCUAACAGGGAACGUGUGAGCGGGGUUUAGACCGUCGUGAGACAGGUUGCAGGUUAGUUUUACCCCUACUGAUUUUAAUGCGUCUUCGCGACAGAAUUCUUGCGUAGUACGAGAGGAACGGCGAGUACAGAGCAAUGGUGGAGCACUUGAUCGAUCGGUCAAGGUGCGAAGCUAAACUCUGUAGGCCUAAUGACUGAAGCCUCUAAGUCAGAAGCCUGUUGGUCAUUGCGAGGAUAUCAAUCCACGUGGUUGAUGUGUUUAUUUGAUUUGCAAAUACGGGUUGUGUAACCUAGUGUUAGUAGAUUCGUCUAUUAACACUCCCCGGGUGUACUAUUUAAACGUAGCACAUA
This 3642-nucleotide ribosomal RNA is filed under the name Saccharum spontaneum (wild sugarcane). Its description in RNAcentral is "eukaryotic LSU rRNA". It matches the Rfam family "Eukaryotic large subunit ribosomal RNA". The record is from RNAcentral. Lineage: Eukaryota; Viridiplantae; Streptophyta; Magnoliopsida; Poales; Poaceae.